CGGCUGGAACCGCCUAAGACACCACCCCAGCCAGCAUGGCCGGCAGGAGCGCACCGCGCUGUCUCCCUCCAGGGAUCCGCACCGCCCUACAAUCCUGCUUUGUGCUGAGAUUGUAGUCCUGCAGGCGUACAACUAACAAGCUGGGUGCAGAUAAGAGACUACAGCUCCCCGCAUCCCAAGCAAAGGUCCCUCCUCUACGGAGCCCCUCCACGCGUCCACUGCGGUUCCGCCGUGCCAAGGGGAGCUUGGCUGUUCACGGGCCUCACCUGCUAGCGAGAAGAUAGCUUGGCCGGGCGGCUGAUCUCACCUUGUAAUUCUGACACUGUGUCUCCCGGGCUUGUCGGCUUCAUGACUUGUGCCCAAAGUUUGAUUUCUCGCAGACCAGGAGGACCCAUUGGACCCCCGGGCUGGCUGCAGGGCCCACACCUGGGUUAGACCUCGCACAGGGACGCUGCUGCCACUGUAAUAAAGCGUGCCUACACGCUUCUGAAACUGGUGUAGGAACAACCUCAGUUCUGUGAAAGGCGGACGCAGCAGGACAGAAUCUCCGUGGACAUCUGUCUGGAGGAGCAAUUUUACUGCGACAUUUUAAAGAAACAAAUUUAAUUGAUUUCCAAGGGUGUCCAUCGCGCUUCCUUCACUGCCUUGAUCAUGUCGGGGUCACCACCUGCGGGGGUUUGUCCUGCAGACCCUGACUCAACGACGGAUGAAUAAUGUACACUGACACAGAUCUUAUGCUUGUCAGUCCUGCUGAGCAUCCAGGCCACUUACAGACUCCAAGAAGAGUCCUGUCAGCCACGGCUCUGACUUGUUGGCCCUCCCGGCAUUUAUUUAGCACACAUUUAAUGACAGAAGUCUCAGGCUGGAAACACUCUUUUUGUAGAACAUACAAAUGGACAUUUCUAAGCACAUUGAGGCCUAUAAUGAAAAAUCAAAUAUCCCACAAUGAAAACUAGAAGGAAGCUAUCUGUGAUAAUGCUUUGUGGUGUAUGGAUUCAUCUCACUGACUGAAACCUGAGUUUUGAUUCACCAGGUUGGAAACACUUUUACUGUAUUAUCUAUGAAGAAACGUUUUUGAGGCCAUUAAGUCCUACACUGAAAAACUGAAUAUACUGCAUUAAACAUUCUAAAGAAGCUAACUGUGAAAAUGCUUUGCAAUGUGUGUAUUUAUCUCACAGAGUUAAACCAUUGUUUUGAUUCAUCAGUUUGGAAACAGUUUCUUUGUAGAAUCUAUGAAGGGACCUUUCAGAGGCCAUUGAGGCCUAUAAUAAAGAAACAAAUAUCCCACAAUAAAACAAGAAACAUAUAGAAACAAGCUGUAUGUGAAAAUGCUUUGUGAUAUCUGGAUUCUUCUCACUGAAUCAAACCUGGGUUUUGAGUCACCAGGUUGGAAACACUUUUUUUGUAAAAUCUAGGAAGGGAAAUUUCUGAGCCCAUUGAGGCACAUAGUGAAAAACCGAGGAUCCUGUGAUAAAAACUAGAAAAACGCAAUAUGUGAAGUUGCUUUGUGAUGUGUGGAUUCGUC
This 1525-nucleotide long non-coding RNA is filed under the name Homo sapiens (human). RNAcentral's name for it is "LHRI_LNC348.2". The record is from RNAcentral. Lineage: Eukaryota; Metazoa; Chordata; Mammalia; Primates; Hominidae.